GUAGAAGGCAGGGUAAAUG
Molecule: unclassified non-coding RNA, 19 nt
Filed under: Mus musculus (house mouse)
Lineage: Eukaryota; Metazoa; Chordata; Mammalia; Rodentia; Muridae
Description: oocyte_clustered_small_RNA4619
Source: RNAcentral